GAUGAACGCUAGCUACAGGCUUAACACAUGCAAGUCGAGGGGAAACGAUAGAGAAAGCUUGCUUUUUCUAGGCGUCGACCGGCGCACGGGUGAGUAACGCGUAUCCAACCUGCCCAACACUUGGGGAAAACCUUGAGAAAGUAAGACUAAUACCCAAUGAUAUCUCAAGAAGACAUUUGAAUGAGAUUAAAGAUUUAUCGGUGUUGGAGGGGGAUGCGUCUGAUUAGAUUGUUGGCGGGGGAACGGACCACCAAGGCGGCGAUCAGUAGGGGUUCUGAGAAGAAGGUCCCCCACAUUGGAACUGGGACACGGUCCAAGCUCCUACGGGAGGCAGCAGUGAGGAAUAUUGGUCAAUGGGCGAGAGCCUGAACCAGCCAAGUAGCGUGCAGGAUGACGGCCCUAUGGGUUGUAAACUGCUUUUAUAAGGGAAUAAAGUGAGCCUCGUGAGGCAUUUUGCAUGUACCUUAUGAAUAAGGCCCGGCUAAUUCCGUGCCAGCCGCCGCCGUAA
RNAcentral lists this ribosomal RNA (508 nucleotides) under uncultured bacterium. RNAcentral describes it as "partial 16S ribosomal RNA". It matches the Rfam family "Bacterial small subunit ribosomal RNA", at positions 28 to 523 of the family's 1533-position model. The record is from RNAcentral.